This 483-nucleotide ribosomal RNA is filed under the name uncultured bacterium. RNAcentral's name for it is "bacterial SSU rRNA". It matches the Rfam family "Bacterial small subunit ribosomal RNA", at positions 903 to 1397 of the family's 1533-position model. The record is from RNAcentral.
AAAGGAAUUGACGGGGACCCGCACAAGCGGUGGAACAUGUGGUUUAAUUCGACGAUAAGCGAAGAACCUUACCAGGGCUUGACAUCCUUGGAAUCCCCUAGAAAUAGGGGAGUGCCGUAAGGAGCCAAGUGACAGGUGUUGCACGGCCGCCGUCAGCUCGUGCUGUGAAGUGUCCCGUUAAGUCGGUAAACGAGCGCAACCCCUUUCGUAUGUUAAAUAUCUCAUGCGAUACUGCCGGCGUUAAGUCGGAGGAAGGUGGGGAUGACGUCAGGUCAGCGUGACUCUUACGCCCUGGGCGACAAACGUGUUACAAUGGGUAGGUACAAUGAGUUGCCAAGCCGAGAGGCGGAGCUAAUCUCAUCAAAACUACCCCCAGUUCGGAUUGAGGGCUGAAACUCGCCCUCAUGAAGCCGGAAUCGCUAGUAAUCGUAGGUCAGCCAUACUACGGUGAAUACGUUCUCGGGUCUUGUACACACCGCCCGU